CUCAGGCCCCUGGGGCUUGGCCUGGGUCUCCUUGGCCGCCGCAGCACCGUCCCGCAGGGCUGUCCCCAGGGCUCUCCCUUCCUGCCGGGUGCGGAGCCGCCUCUCCCAGCCCGCGUCCGCCUCCCUGGGGGCACUGCAGCCAGUCCCCCCUCUCUUCGGAAGAUGCUAAUCUAGAGGUCGAGAGAGGUCGAAAGCAUUGAUGUAAGGCGUGAUGGUCACACUCUGAAAGGGAACGGUGACAAGUUGAGACAAAAGGGAAAAGAAGAUAAUUUAUAAGAGGCACUGCAGGAAAAUAAGCUUCAUUCCUUACCUGGAAAAGCAACCAUGAAACGUGACCAAGAAAGAGUACGGCUGAUGCGGUGUCAGUCAUACAGAAGUGACCUGCGGACCUGAUGGCAUCACCAGAGAUUUUUAAACUGUGGACAGAGGAUCUGUCAGAUUGUUACUGCUUAAUUUCAUACCAACGAAAUUUGGAAGUCUUCUCAACUGACAGUCUUACCGACUCAGAAACUGGUUUAUGACUUGUCGUGAUCUUUAACCUUUGUGUUCUUUCCAUUUUCAUAGAGUGUGUACUAUGACCUUAUUUACCUGAUUGCUGGUUAACAUAGUAUACGCCUGACUUUAGAAGCCCAUCUGCAUCACCCCCGCCUAAGAUGAGAGUCAACGGUUUAACUGGAUUGACUUGCUAUCAGCACUAGAUGGUUGGGUUGGAUACAACAAUUCCAUAUCAAGAGGAAGAUGUUUUAAGAUUCCAGGCUAUCUCUGCUUUGGAAGAAUUGGCUAAUGGGAUUCCACUCUCUGUUCCAGUCUCAGGUCCCAUUCCCUGGUCUCUCUUAGAUUAGACAGGCAGGGACCUCAACCCUUGUCAGCAGGAAGCAGUUACUGAAGAGAAGGAAACCCUCCUCCCUCAUCACCCUUAGAAGAUUUUAGGGAUGGGAGUCUCUGAGGGGGGAAUGAGGCAGGAUAGUAAGAAGCUAGGAAAAUUUCUUGGCAAGUAGAAUAGGGAAACUGAGACAGAGAGCUGAACACAAUGGCUGAGCAGUUUACAGCUAGGUUGGUUCAGGUGGUUAGCUGGGUGGAAGGCCCAGACUGCUUGUCAGGGGGCAAAACUGAGAUAAAAAGGAUCCCAUCCCCAUGGUAACCUCUCCUCCCCUGGUCUUUCCUCUCCGGAGACAACAUCCAGGACGAAGUUGUGUUUCAGCUCCAGACCCAGAAAAGCAGCAAGAUCCGGUGGCCAACAUAAGUAGGUCACACUGAACCAGGACUAGCUACAAUGACUGAAGACCCCCUGCCCUGCCACUGACUGAUUGGAGACCAUGACCUGGAAAGGGCGCACCUAGAGAACUGAUGCAUAUUUUGCUGAAAAUCUCCCCUGAGACCUCUCCUAAUAUUUAAACCUGCAAGAGAGAGGUAAAAGCCUCAAGACAAAGGACCCAUCCCACCUGUGCUCUCCCUCUGGGGAGCAGCCAGCAACAUUCGCUUUCCCUUCUUCUCCCUCAACUUCUUUCUUCACAGGCACGCAUGUCCUAAACUCUAAGGCAAUGGGCAGCUGGCAGCUUGUCCCACACGGACGAUCCCCUGACCUGUCCUUAAAAAGCCCCCUUUUCUCUGACUUCUGGGGUAGGGUCAGAGAGGGCAUUCAUCCUUCUGAAUUAGGCAUCAGAGGAGGCAGGACAUCCCCCGCAGGGCUGUAAGGGCUUAUGACCACCCAGCCUUCGGAGGAACCCAUGGGAGACACCUGGGCUUUCCCGCUCAAGGUAUUUUAUGGGUACUUGGGAUCAAGGUCCAGAGUCCCAGGAUUGCACUUGUGGGAAGUGAGGAUGUCCUUGGUCUUCAAGGACUUAGGUAUAAGUGGUAGAUCUCCCCUUUUAUCAGGGCUGUCCUGGUUGUUCUGUUUGCUGUUCCACACCUGAUUGUUUUUGUUCUUUGCCAUCCCUUUUGUGGAUUCUUCCUGGACUUUCACCUCCAUUUCCUUUGGGCCAGGAUGUGGGAUGUUACCAGAUGGGCCCAGCUUCACAACCUUGAAUCCCUGCUCAGGUGGUGAAGGCAGGAGAGAAAAUCUUUGCUUUGGAGGGGGGAUACAGACAGUUCUUGAGGGUCCAAACACUCUAGAAUUUCGAGCAGACAGCACAAGCUUCUUUGGAGGGUCCUUCCAGUUCACCAAGGGGAGAAUCCCCACAGGGGAGCACAUCGUCUUCAGCAGAGGACACUGCCUUCUUGCUGUGAUGUAAA
Molecule: long non-coding RNA, 2232 nt
Organism: Phyllostomus hastatus (greater spear-nosed bat)
Lineage: Eukaryota; Metazoa; Chordata; Mammalia; Chiroptera; Phyllostomidae
Exons: 3
Source: RefSeq, a predicted model, not a curated record